RNAcentral lists this long non-coding RNA (1645 nucleotides) under Cottoperca gobio. RNAcentral describes it as "lncRNA (ENSCGOG00000008255.1)". The record is from RNAcentral. Lineage: Eukaryota; Metazoa; Chordata; Actinopteri; Perciformes; Bovichtidae.
CGAUAUGGCGUUGACGCGAAAGGAGGCGGAACUAAUGUGCCCCAACAUUCUAGUCGGACCCUUUAGACUCAAACCUUUAGAGUGUUACACCGCCUAAAGCUUUCUGGCUGACACAUGGCCAAUUACCUGACUAGAGGAAGAAGCAAGAACCACGAAGAAUUAAAGACAGGUGCUGGUCCUGCCAGGAUGUGGAUGUGUCUGGAAGAGUUGGAUGAAAAGCAAAAGGACCCUCAGUGAUAUUUAAUACUUCUGCAACAUCACUGAGCUCAGGACAUGAACACCGUCCUCCUGGGUGAAAGUCGACCUCCACCCCUUAUGGAGUUUCUCGCUCAUUAUGCUACAUCACCUGACUUCCACCUUUGCUCCUGUGAUUAUUACAACGGUUGCUAGAGGUCGGUGUCAUCUGCUUGUAUUUCUUCUUUCAGUGAUUAACUGUUUGAAUAGAUGAUAAAUCCUAUUAGUCUGUGUUGCAGGUCCCUUCUGAUCUACAUCUCUGAGGCUGAUAACCACUGAUAACGGCCAUUUAAUCGGCUGAUAACAUUUGAACCGGGUGCAAAAAGUUAGCAUCCUCAGCAGCUGAUUGAUGAAGUACAACACAUGGAAAUAAAGAAACACCAUUGUUCUUGUAUUGCAGAGUCGAGAUAUCUAGUAUUCCUUAACCUGAUGCACCAGAUGUUUUGGAAAAGGGCAGGUGACUUGACGGGUGAUUGGAUGAACCAUCUGUAAAUCAAACUCUUACUGAAACCAGUCAGGAGAAGAGCGGAAACAUCAAGAAAAACCUUUCAGAGCCGUUCCUUGCUCUUCUUUGAAUAAAAGACAUACUCUCCAGUACUGAUGCUAUUGCAGAAACGAACGAAAUCAAUCAGUCACCUCUCCGUGUCGUCUCACACACCUUAACCAUGCCCUUAAGGAUGCUCAAACGCAUUACUUGAAGCCGCACAAGAUGGAUUUUCGUGUGAUCUCAUGAUCCCGCAAUUUUCUUGGGAUCUUAUGAUGUUUCGAGAGUGCAGUGCAAGGUAAAACAUUCUUAGUGUUCCCUUUGUGUAUUGAAGGGUGGUGGGUGGGCUGCAGCACGUCAGACUUUCAUAUGGGAGAUUAGAUUUGUGACUUGCUAUCACAGACUUGCAACAGACAUGUUGGAAAAUGUAUUUGCUUUCUUGUCGAGGGUAAAAUGAGAAAAAUCAGUACCACUCUAAUAUUUGUAUGGCAAAUAUGAAGUUAACGCCAAUAGGCUGGCUAACUUAGCUUAGCACAGAGACUGGGGACAGGGGGAAACAUUUAGCCUGGCUCUGUCCAAAGGCAAUAACAUCGACCUACCAGCCUCUCUAAAGCACACUAAUGUUUAUACAAAGUGUAAAAAAUGACUAGUUGAUUGAACCAAGGUAUUAUUCUAUUCUAUUAAUAAUAAACAAGCUCUCACAUUUAAAAAUCCACAUUAAUAACGAAAGUCACAACAACAACAGCCACGCCACCAUUUCUCCCCAGGCUGUAACUGCAGCAUUCUCAUUAAACAUUUGAGAGCAGCUGCUGUUUACUUUGCUGUCACAUAUUGUGUGACCUGUUUGGGCUGUACAGAGAACUCUGUCAUUUUCUGUUUGUGACUGUGAUUACCACGCAUAUGCUUUUUUCCAAAAACCUGCAGGAC